This 492-nucleotide ribosomal RNA is filed under the name uncultured bacterium. RNAcentral describes it as "partial 16S ribosomal RNA". It matches the Rfam family "Bacterial small subunit ribosomal RNA", at positions 29 to 507 of the family's 1533-position model. The record is from RNAcentral.
AGUGAACGCUGGCGGUAGGCCUAACACAUGCAAGUCGAACGACAGCACAGUAAGAGCUUGCUCUUACGGGUGGCGAGUGGCGGACGGGUGAGGAAUACAUCGGAAUCUACUUUUUCGGGGGGGAUAACGUAGGGACACUUACGCUAAUACCGCAUACGACCUACGGGUGAAAGCAGGAGAUCUUCGGACCUUUGGCGAUUGAAUGAGCCGAUGUCGGAUUAGCUAGUUGGCGGGGUAAAGGCCCACCAAGGCGACGAUCCGUAGCUGGUCUGAGAGGAUGAUCAGCCACACUGGAACUGAGACACGGUCCAGACUCCUACGGGAGGCAGCAGUGGGGAAUAUUGGACAAUGGGCGCAAGCCUGAUCCAGCCAUACCGCGUGGGUGAAGAAGGCCUUCGGGUUGUAAAGCCCUUUUAUUGGGAAAGAAAAGCAGCAGGUUAAUACCCCGCUGUUCUGACGGUACCCAAAGAAUAAGCACCGGCUAACUUCGUG